Small nuclear RNA from Gracilinanus agilis (Agile Gracile Mouse Opossum), 107 nucleotides. The record is from RefSeq and is a predicted model, not a curated record. Lineage: Eukaryota; Metazoa; Chordata; Mammalia; Didelphimorphia; Didelphidae.
GUGUUUGCUUUGGCAGCACAUAUACUAAAAAUGGAAUGAUACAGAGAAGAUUAGCAUAGCCCUUGUGCAAGGAUGACGCACAAAUUAGUGAAGAAUUCUAUAUUUUA